This 334-nucleotide unclassified non-coding RNA is filed under the name Hevea brasiliensis (rubber tree). Lineage: Eukaryota; Viridiplantae; Streptophyta; Magnoliopsida; Malpighiales; Euphorbiaceae. The record is from RNAcentral.
CGGCUCGAACUGACCGAGGUCAAUCUCGACCGUCUUCAGGAAGCCGUCGAUGCCAAGAAGCUCGAUGCGAGCGCGACCGUCAACGCGGAGUCGCUGGUGAAGUCCGGACUGCUGCGCCGUUCGAAGGACGGCGUGCGGCUGCUCGGCCGCGGCGAACUCAAGGCCAAGCUCAACAUCGAAGUGCACGGCGCGACCAAGUCCGCGAUCGAGGCAGUCGAGAAGGCUGGCGGUUCGGUGAAGAUCCUGGCUCCGGCGAAGGACGCUGCCGCCCAGAAGGCUGCUGCCAAGAAGCCGAACAGGAAGGCCUCGUAAGGUUCGACCGAUCCCGCCUUUG